AUAUAUCAACCUCUUCAAGUUUUGCUUGUUGAGCGUUGGAUGUGGGGGUUUCUUUUGCUGGUCUCUCUUUCUGAGGUCGGCUCCCCUAAAAUGUAUUAGCGGAACAAUUUGUUGACCGUUCAUUGGUGUGAUAGACUAUCUACGCUAUUGACGUGAAGCAGGUUCAGCUUCUAAUAGUCCAUUGACUUGGACAAGUUUUCAUUA
RNAcentral lists this unclassified non-coding RNA (204 nucleotides) under uncultured Cortinarius. Its description in RNAcentral is "sequence contains ITS2". The record is from RNAcentral. Lineage: Eukaryota; Fungi; Basidiomycota; Agaricomycetes; Agaricales; Cortinariaceae.